This 497-nucleotide ribosomal RNA is filed under the name uncultured bacterium. RNAcentral describes it as "partial 16S ribosomal RNA". It matches the Rfam family "Bacterial small subunit ribosomal RNA", at positions 28 to 507 of the family's 1533-position model. The record is from RNAcentral.
GAUGAACGCUGGCGGCGUGCCUAAUGCAUGCAAGUCGAGCGAACAGACGAGGAGCUUGCUCCUCUGACGUUAGCGGCGGACGGGUGAGUAACACGUGGAUAACCUACCUAUAAGACUGGGAUAACUUCGGGAAACCGGAGCUAAUACCGGAUAAUAUAUUGAACCGCAUGGUUCAAUAGUGAAAGACGGUUUUGCUGUCACUUAUAGAUGGAUCCGCGCCGCAUUAGCUAGUUGGUAAGGUAACGGCUUACCAAGGCGACGAUGCGUAGCCGACCUGAGAGGGUGAUCGGCCACACUGGAACUGAGACACGGUCCAGACUCCUACGGGAGGCAGCAGUAGGGAAUCUUCCGCAAUGUGCGAAAGCCUGACGGAGCAACGCCGCGUGAGUGAUGAAGGUCUUCGGAUCGUAAAACUCUGUUAUUAGGGAAGAACAAAUGUGUAAGUAACUAUGCACGUCUUGACGGUACCUAAUCAGAAAGCCACGGCUAACUACGUG